Molecule: transfer RNA, 95 nt
Filed under: Actinomyces bovis
Lineage: Bacteria; Bacillati; Actinomycetota; Actinomycetes; Actinomycetales; Actinomycetaceae
Description: tRNA-Gly(acc)
Source: RNAcentral
AGCAGCAGUGGGCUAGCUUGGAGAGCCUCGAGGGUACCGCCCAUGGGUGCAUGAGCGCGCAGGAUCAUGCUUCGUGCGAGCACCGAGUGCUGGUG